GUUUUCCGACUGCAGUCAUCUCCUCAUACUCCUCCCAACAUGUGUAUACACAGCGUUGGUCUGCUGGCUCACUUACAACUGGAAAAACAGAACAGGCAUUAAAAGAGCUCCAGGAAUUGCCUAUAUCAAUGAAAAGAAGGAUGCUGCAUAAGGUCUGACUACAAAGAUACCUUUAAUCCUCCACUUCAUGACAUCAUCACGGACAUGGAGAAAAGUUACCUGUUGAAGUGGCUUGCCAAAUUAUUCUCAUCACAGAUAAGAGCUGAGAAGCUGAAAAAAGCUGAGUAAUUUUGCAUAGAGGCAUGAAGCUUUCCAUCAUCAACCAAGAAUAAUAUCAUG
RNAcentral lists this long non-coding RNA (339 nucleotides) under Bos indicus x Bos taurus (hybrid cattle). Its description in RNAcentral is "lncRNA (ENSBIXG00005026842.1)". The record is from RNAcentral. Lineage: Eukaryota; Metazoa; Chordata; Mammalia; Artiodactyla; Bovidae.